GACAGAGGAUGCAAGCGUUAUCCGGAAUUAUUGGGCGUAAAGGGCGCGUAGGCGGCCACCGCAAGUCGACUGUGAAAUCUCCGGGCUUAACUCGGAAAGGUCAGCCGAUACUGCGGGGCUAGAGUGCAGAAGGGGCAACUGGAAUUCUCGGUGUAGCGGUGAAAUGCGUAGAUAUCGAGAGGAACACCUGCGGCGAAGGCGGGUUGCUGGGCUGACACUGACGCUGAUUGUGCGAAAGCUAGGGGAGCGAACGGG
Molecule: ribosomal RNA, 255 nt
Filed under: uncultured bacterium
Lineage: Bacteria
Description: partial 16S ribosomal RNA
Rfam family: Bacterial small subunit ribosomal RNA
Source: RNAcentral